This 650-nucleotide ribosomal RNA is filed under the name uncultured Sebacina. RNAcentral's name for it is "eukaryotic LSU rRNA". The stretch from base 232 to 385 matches the Rfam family "5.8S ribosomal RNA". Lineage: Eukaryota; Fungi; Basidiomycota; Agaricomycetes; Sebacinales; Sebacinaceae. The record is from RNAcentral.
UUAGAGGAAGUAAAAGUCGUAACAAGGUUUCCGUAGGUGAACCUGCGGAAGGAUCAUUAGUGAUUUUGAAACGUCAUUUUCUGUGCUGGCCGCUCAGGCAUGUGCACAUUGAUGGCUUUCAUCCAACACCCAUUUGUGAACCUUUGGCCUUGCGUUGGUUUCGGCCGGCGGAAGGAUUUUACACAUACUCCGAAUGUAAUGAAAUAUUGUCGUGCACAAGCACUAAUGUACAACUUUCAACAACGGAUCUCUUGGCUCUCGCAUCGAUGAAGAACGCAGCGAAAUGCGAUAAGUAAUGUGAAUUGCAGAAUUCAGUGAAUCAUCGAAUCUUUGAACGCACCUUGCACCCUUUGGUAUUCCGAAGGGUAUGCUCGUUUGAGUGUCAUUGUACUCUCACACUCUCCGAUUUCAGAUUGGGAGUCGUGGACUUGGAUGUUGCUGCUUUGCUGUCAGGCUCAUCUCAAAUGCCUUAGUGCAACUCUAUUUGGACAUAGUACAGCGUGAUAAGUAUCUUCGCUGGCAACUCACAAGAGUAUGUCCAAUUUGGAGCUCUGUGCUUCAAAAACUGUCCUUUGGACUAUCUCCGACAACUUGACCUCAAAUCGAGUAGGACUACCCGCUGAACUUAAGCAUAUCAAUAAGCGGAGGAA